This 271-nucleotide ribosomal RNA is filed under the name uncultured prokaryote. RNAcentral describes it as "partial 16S ribosomal RNA". It matches the Rfam family "Bacterial small subunit ribosomal RNA", at positions 524 to 794 of the family's 1533-position model. The record is from RNAcentral.
UACGUAGGAUCCGAGCGUUAUACGGAUUUAUUGGGUUUAAAGGGUGCGCAGGCGGGAGAUUAAGUCGGCGGUGAAAUUUUGCAGCUCAACUGUAAAAGUGCCUUCGAAACUGGUUUCCUUGAGUGUAGAUGAAGUAGGCGGAAUUUGUGGUGUAGCGGUGAAAUGCAUAGAUAUCACGAGGAACUCCGAUUGCGCAGGCAGCUUACUAAACUACUACUGACGCUCAGGCACGAAGGCGUGGGGAUCAAACAGGAUUAGAUACCCCUGUAGU